UACGUAGGGUGCAAGCGUUAAUCGGAAUUACUGGGCGUAAAGCGUGCGCAGGCGGCGGCCCAAGUCAGGUGUGAAAUCCCCGGGCUUAACCUGGGAAUUGCGCUUGAAACUAGGCGGCUCGAGUGUGGCAGAGGGUGGUGGAAUUCCUCGUGUAGCGGUGAAAUGCGUAGAGAUGAGGAGGAACACUAGUGGCGAAGGCGGCCACCUGGACAGUAACUGACGCUGAGGCGCGAAAGCGUGGGUAGCAAACAGG
Molecule: ribosomal RNA, 253 nt
Filed under: uncultured prokaryote
Description: partial 16S ribosomal RNA
Rfam family: Bacterial small subunit ribosomal RNA
Source: RNAcentral